This 484-nucleotide ribosomal RNA is filed under the name Streptococcus sanguinis. RNAcentral's name for it is "bacterial SSU rRNA". It matches the Rfam family "Bacterial small subunit ribosomal RNA", at positions 28 to 494 of the family's 1533-position model. The record is from RNAcentral. Lineage: Bacteria; Bacillati; Bacillota; Bacilli; Lactobacillales; Streptococcaceae.
GACGAGCGCUGGCGGCGUGCCUAAUACAUGCAAGUAGAACGCUGAAGAGAGGAGCUUGCUCUUCUUGGAUGAGUUGCGAACGGGUGAGUAACGCGUAGGUAACCUGCCUGGUAGCGGGGGAUAACUAUUGGAAACGAUAGCUAAUACCGCAUGAUAUUAAUUGUCGCAUGAUAAUUAAUUGAAAGAUGCAAUUGCAUCACUACCAGAUGGACCUGCGUUGUAUUAGCUAGUUGGUGAGGUAACGGCUCACCAAGGCGACGAUACAUAGCUGACCUGAGAGGGUGAUCGGCCACACUGGGACUGAGACACGGCCCAGACUCCUACGGGAGGCAGCAGUAGGGAAUCUUCGGCAAUGGGGGGAACCCUGACCGAGCAACGCCGCGUGAGUGAAGAAGGUUUUCGGAUCGUAAAGCUCUGUUGUAAGAGAAGAACGGGUGUGAGAGUGGAAAGUUCACACUGUGACGGUAUCUUACCAGAAAGGCGG